ACUUGUGCAGAAAUGUACAUGUUGAUAAGAAGUGAGGCGUCGAGGAGGGGGCAGGAAGCUUCUUGCUUUUAUGGCUCGUGUGAUUCGUUUUUAUUGAAAGUUUUUUUUAUGGCAACUGGUACCGUUAAGUGGUUCAAUGACUCCAAAGGCUUUGGCUUCAUCACUCCUGAUGAUGGCGGCGAGGAUUUGUUCGCACACUUCUCCGCGAUCAACAUGAAUGGCUUCAAGACCCUGAAAGAAGGUCAAAAAGUUCAGUUCGAAGUCACCCAAGGCCCUAAAGGCAAGCAAGCUUCCAACAUCCAGUCGAUGUAAGCAAUAGCUUUUUUGGAAGUAAGAAACCCCGCAAUCGUGGGGUUUUUUUUU
This 363-nucleotide small RNA is filed under the name Massilia sp. Root351. RNAcentral describes it as "cspA thermoregulator". It matches the Rfam family "cspA thermoregulator". The record is from Rfam by way of RNAcentral. Lineage: Bacteria; Pseudomonadati; Pseudomonadota; Betaproteobacteria; Burkholderiales; Oxalobacteraceae.